AAACUAACAAGGAUUCCCCUAGUAACGGCGAGUGAAGCGGGAAGAGCUCAAAUUUGUAAUCUGGCACUUUCAGUGUCCGAGUUGUAAUCUCGAGAAGUGUUUUCCGCGCUAGACUGCAUACAAGUCUGUUGGAAUACAGCGUCAUAGUGGUGAGAACCCCGUACGUGAUGCAGAUGCCUAGUGCUUUGUGAUACACUUUCGAAGAGUCGAGUUGUUUGGGAAUGCAGCUCAAAUUGGGUGGUAAAUUCCAUCUAAAGCUAAAUAUUGGCGAGAGACCGAUAGCGAACAAGUACCGUGAGGGAAAGAUGAAAAGCACUUUGGAAAGAGAGUUAACAGUACGUGAAAUUGUUGGAAGGGAAACGCUUGAAGUCAGACUUGCUAUUUGGGAUUUAUCUCAUUUUGCAGGCCAGCAUCAGUUUUCGGGGGCAAAAAAGGGUUUGAGGAAGGUAGCAACUCCGGUUGUGUUAUAGCCUCUUGCUGGAUUUGUCUUUGGGGACUGAGGAACGCAGCGCACUUUUUGCAAGGCUUUCGAGCUUAUUGCGCUUAGGAUGCUGGUGGAAUGGCUUUAAACGAC
RNAcentral lists this ribosomal RNA (574 nucleotides) under Oberwinklerozyma sp. Its description in RNAcentral is "partial large subunit ribosomal RNA". It matches the Rfam family "Eukaryotic large subunit ribosomal RNA", at positions 62 to 648 of the family's 3401-position model. The record is from RNAcentral. Lineage: Eukaryota; Fungi; Basidiomycota; Microbotryomycetes; Chrysozymaceae.